Molecule: long non-coding RNA, 4230 nt
Organism: Alligator mississippiensis (American alligator)
Lineage: Eukaryota; Metazoa; Chordata; Crocodylia; Alligatoridae
Exons: 4
Source: RefSeq, a predicted model, not a curated record
CAGUGAGUUUAGAAAUCACUGGAGCGCUGCAAGCCACAAGGACAGAGUUAACCGCACCAAUCCCACAACAUCCUCUUCCUGGAAAUGGCCCUUCUGUAUCCCACUUCCUCUUUCUACUGCCUAUAAUUAGAAACAAGUGUACAAGAAGAGAGAAGUAGCGGAUGUACUGCUUUCUAGAAGGGCUGUGCUCAAGGAACAGGAAAUACAUGGCAUUGUCUUUGUUCCGAGCUGGAAGGGUGACACUGAAGAUCAAGUCCUGUGGCUGAAAAUGAGAUCUGGUUCAUGGAGCUUCUAUCCUGGUUGGAAAGUUGGCAGGUUUUGAUUCACCAAGCACACAACAAACUGAUGGAUGUGAUAAGCUGGGUAGAAGAUAUGACAUCACAACAACUUUCAGGCUAUCAAACUGAAAACCAGCAGAGAUAAGAACUGUUCUAGGCAAUAGCUGCAAAAUUAAAUCAGUACAAGUGUGAUCAGUCACUACCACCUUGACUUAAACAACUGACUACCUACUUUGUUUUAGUGCUCUUCACAUUUUUGACCCAAAUCAGGUGUAUUUUCUGAGUUUUGACCCUCAGCUAAUUAAAUCAAUCCUUGGAUUCCUGAAAGAGCAUGACAAUGAAUGCUCUGCUUAUAUGAAUUUGCCAAAGCAUGCCAAAUGCCUUUGAAUGUAACUGAAUUUUGGGAUUCUGUUUCUGAUUGUUUCCCACAUCUCGACAACUUGGCAAAAUGCUGCCUUACAACUACAACCAGUUCAGUGGAUGCAGAAAAUGCGAUCUUAAUGAUUGGAAAAAUCUUCACAUCACAGAGACAGAGGAUGUCAGCUGCAACUGAUGGCGGAUGCUGCAUGCUAGCAUUUAACAACUAAAAUGAAUUAUUUCUAUUAAGCGGUUUGGACUCAUGCCAGAUGCAGAAGUCAUGACAGCACUGCUGUGGAGGAGGUUUUGCCGGCAACCACCAACAGAGUGCACCUUGGCCUUGUUGGCCUUUGAGCCAGAAGUGGUGAAUCACCCGGUAAGAGAUGCAAUCCAGCAAGUAGUGCAGCUUUUACCCAUUUUGCAGAAGCCAAAGCUUACCAAGCCAAUUAAAACUGCCAAGGCCAUGGCAGUGGCCUCAGUGAAAGAUAAACCUGCUGACCCCCCUGAAUUGUUGAGAAAAGCCGAGAAAGACCGGCUCAAGACUCCGCAAGAAAAAAUAUAGAAAGACUUGUUAGCUGCCUGUUAUAAUAAAGUGCAAAUCAAUAGACUGCCCAUCAAUGCCUUGCAAGGGCUGAGGGCUAAACACUGUACCAAAAGGGCAAGACCAAAAGCAGAGCCUUCUGCACCACCAACUGUGUCACCGGAGAGAUUCUCUGCCCUGAUAGCAAAACUGUCAACAUUUUCCUAGGCACAUGCGGGGCCACCAGCUUUUACCCACAUGGCCUAAGGAGUCCCGCCAGCCCAACCCCCAAAGAAAGGAGCCAUAAUGGGGGUAGUAGCAGGCCGAGUACCGGUAUCUAAAGUUAAUAUUAGUCCCUUAAUUUGGAUACCUGUACAGAUUCAAUUAAGUAAAAGUGAAAAGUCAAUUGAUAUGCUAUUAAGCACAGGUGCCCAGAUUUGCAUUUUAGAUUCCGCAGAUUGGAAAGAGGAGAAAGGAACCCCUUAUCAAGUAAUUGGAGUCGGAAGCACCAGAUGACCAGGACAUCUAGUCCGAGCAACCUUCACGUUACCCAAUGGCUCUAAGGGCGUGUCUACUAUCCUUCUUAUUACCCAGAUAUUAAUGAACUUGAUCCUGAAGACCUCAAAGAGUGGCCUGACCCUGAAGAGCAUCCCCCGGAAAUGCGUUCAAAUGGCCUUCAUGUGGUCCAGCUGCAGUAUCCAUACUGGAAGAAACCUGCCACCCCGGAGCAAGUGAAGUCCUGGUUUCUGAGUAUAAGAAACAGGAUAGUUAACUGGCAAGGUGGUAACUGUCAGUGCACCUGUGGCACCAGUUAUUAUCUUGGGUUCAUUCCCUACCUGAAGGCUGGAAUGACUAACUGUGGGAGGUGAUUGUGGUAGAUCUGCUUAUUUGAGAGUUUGUUGUUACAUACUUCCUGAGGGAAACCCCGAUGAGCUCAACGCCCCUGAGUUUGUGUCCUCAAUAAUGCAUUUUGCAUCUGUUCAGCCUCUUGAGCCAUUGCGUUUAUGGAAGAAUCUGCCCCCUCCCAUUCCUAUGGCUGACAACACUCUCCAAUGAUUGUGUGAGGCCCACCAGGUAGGAAAGCGCACUACAAGUUAGAACAAAGUUAUUACAUAGUUUGUAAAUCAUACCUACACAGAGGCAUGGUAAAAUGGUACCCACUUCAAUACAACCAAAAGGAAACUGUAUCCGCAAGUCUCCAACACUUAUCCUCAUCCUUUUAUACCAGUAAAGUUCCUAAAGCAAAUUAGUGCAAUGAUUCUGCCAGAACAAUGCUGUUUCGUUAAUCUGAUACAGCAUCGUCCCCAUGAGCGACAGUGGGAGCUCUUUCACUCUCUGGGAGGUGAAGCAUAGUUACAGGCUCCCAAAGAAGGAAGGAUAAAUGUGAUCUGUAAGAAAACGGGGUGUUCACUACUAUCUCUGGCCAUUCCCCCACGGGAGGCCCUGACACUGCCCGUGUAUAACUCCACACCCUGAAGGUCACAAGUUAAAAUACCAACCCUCCUAAAUGCUUUGUUGUUCACUGCCUAAAUCCUAGUGCAGGGAGUAAAAGAUGAAAACUAGACCACUGCUUAUUUAAUAAACAUGGGGCUAAGCAGAGAAUGCCUUUGCAACUAGAAUCUGCAUCACCCCAUAUGGGAAAUAGUUACCCCCGAUGGCCCUCAGCAUGUAGCACAGACCCCCUUAGUUCAAAUUAGUAGCACCUUGAUUGGAUUAGAGACCCUAUAGAGAGGCUGGCCUCCCAGCCCACCUAACAUGACCUGCAUGUACGAGUUACCUAAUGUGUCAUAUGUAACAAUAGGACAACAUGUUUGUUAGGAAGGACCGGGUCAUUUGCUGCAUAAAAAUGGUACCACCUGGACUUUAUGCAAUUCAUGUUGCUUAAGAGCUAAAAGUAGAGCCGUUGCUCUACUGCAAUUAAGUAACCAUACUUUUGCCCUAAAAUAGCCAAAAAUUUCCUCUGAGACUAUACCUCUCAACUUUACGAUACCUACUUCAUGGGUAUCAGAUGUAGACAUGUCAUGGUUAGAAAACUGAAAUGAAGUGAAAAAUAAGCUGCAAAGCCUUGAGGCAAAGGCUCGACAAAGCACUUAGUUGGCUCUCCUUGCUCAAGAGGGUGGGUGAAUCAUCAGUCUAGCUGUCAAUGUGCCUGAGCCUUGUAAAUGGUAAGAUGUAAUCUGUACUAUUCGUGUGUCACCAAGUGUCACCUCAGCUACGUGGCUAACCAUCUUAAGCAUCAUAGUAUUUUGCAUUGCCCUAGUGGCAACAGCUAAAUGGUGUUUUAAUCGUUGUUGUUGUAAAUCUGUUCAUGCUAUGCAAGUUAAAUUUAUAGAUUCCUCCUCAUUUCCCGAUGUAGCGCAUAUGGCUUUAGCAUUUCAAUUAUAGCCAUCGUAGUGCUUCAGCAAGCAAGGAGUAGAGUGUGACAGCUGAAAAGUGUGCCUGUGUAAUAAAGGUGCUUGCUGAAGGCCCUAUGAAGAUUAGACAAAGUGUCUUUCUGUAUUUGUUUAGAUAUUAAGUUAUAUGUUGUUGCUAAAAGCCUAAUUAAAGUUUAAGAUGUAGUGACGCCUUGUAUAAAGUAAGGCCUAGUAAAUUUAGCGAAGCCUUGAAGUAGUAACGCCCUGUGGCGUAGUUAAAAUUACUUUAUCAAAAGAAUGCAAGGCUUGUACUGCUAUUGGUCAGUCUAAGGACAGUUGAAGUAAAAGGAAUCUGAGUGGCUGUAUGUUAUCAGAACCAUUCAGAAGCUUUAAAUUGGCUGGAAUAUCUGGAAACCAUUCAGAAGGAAGAUACAGCUCUGUGAAAAGGAUCAGUUAGCUGUUGCCUGGAUCAGUGAGCCCGUGGACCUCGAGGAGCCCAAGGACUGCAUUUCAGGGUCCUUCCCGGUACCCUUCGGACAGUGUUGUUCAGGGAUGCCCGACUUCGCUGAACUUUGUGAAAAGAGAAGCUUGCUGUGUAUCAGGCAUCAGAGGGGACUGCCGAUAAGUUGCCGACUUGAAUUGCUUUUGUCUGUCAUUGUUUGUCUUGUUACUACGUGUAGUUGUGUUUUUGUUAAGUCAAUAAAUCUUUCUUACCUUUUUA